Phacochoerus africanus (Common warthog) is the source of this 1288-nucleotide long non-coding RNA. RefSeq lists it as uncharacterized. The transcript has 4 exons. The record is from RefSeq and is a predicted model, not a curated record. Lineage: Eukaryota; Metazoa; Chordata; Mammalia; Artiodactyla; Suidae.
AAAGUAACAAUGAAAUUAUGAUUGGAGUAAUGUCAGGAGGAAUUCUGAUUUACAUGAACAGAGAACGAAUGAAUACUUUUCCAUGGAUUCUAUUUGACAAAUUACUUUGAAAACACCAAGAUAUAAUCUCUCUGGGGAAAAUUUGAAUGACCUCAUGAUAUUUGAGAUGGUUUUUAAAGGAUGAACAGAAAUUUGCUCAGUGAAGAAAAGACGUAAAAAGGUUUCUCAGAGAAUUGAGGACACAGGGCAUACUGCAGCUCUGAAAACUGGAGAGACAGAUGAAUACAAGGAGUGACAGCUUACCAGGACUAGAAGCCACUGCUGCUGCAGCAAUACUUACAGGGUAAUUGACAAAUUGCUGGAAACUGAGCAAAGACUAGCCUGACAGAAACUCCUGGAGGCCCUGCUUAGAAAGGCUAAGGAUGGAGUGAGCUGAAGGGCACUGAAGGUCGAAGCCAAGAGACCCAGACCGCCACACCACUGAGAUUUCAUCACAGGAUUAAAGACCAGUUCCUCUCCAACCCCAAACUUAACUGCCACAUCGGCAGGGUUCCUGUGUUAUAACAGAGAGUUAUCAGGCAAAGAACUGCAAAGUGCAGACUAAGAAGAAGUCUCUAAAAUCCAAAGACAUUUUAAGAGAGACAAAGACAAGGAUAGUAGAGGAAAAAGUAGCCUCAAAUAGCUACCUCAGAAACUGUUCCUUUGAAAUGGUCACAAUUUUAUAAAAUUCGUUUCUAAAGAAAUUCGUGCCCAGGGCACUGUUGAAAAUAACAGAGGAGUUUUAUAGCUGGGUGUGGUAUUUGAAAAAAUCGGAUGACUGGUACCAUUGUCAUCUCAGCAUUAUUGUGGGCAAACCCAGAGCCGUGCUUUCCUAAAGAGCAACAACUUCAUGCAGAAGGGUAAGGGAGGUUAGGGGAUAAAUACAGAGUUUGUGAAAGUAAUCUACCAAAUAGUGAUAAGCUGGGAAGUUGAGAAACAAAUACUUAGACUCACUACGAUGUAAAACUUCAGUUCCCAGAAAAAUAUUAUAAGACAUGCAAAGAUAGGAGUUCCCGUCGUGGCGCAGUGGUUAACGAAGCCAACUAGGAACCAUGUGGUUGCCGGUUCGAUCCCUGCCCUUGCUCAGUGGGUUAAUGAUCUGGUGUUGCCGUGAGCUGUGGUGUAGGUCGCAGAUGCGGCUCGGAUCCCGUGUUGCUGUGGCUCUGGCGUAGGCUGGCAGCUACAGCUCCAAUUAGACCCCUAGCCUGGGAACCUCCAUAUGCCGCGGGAGCAGCCCAAGAAAUGACCA